Molecule: antisense RNA, 96 nt
Filed under: Photobacterium phosphoreum
Lineage: Bacteria; Pseudomonadati; Pseudomonadota; Gammaproteobacteria; Vibrionales; Vibrionaceae
Description: Vibrio RNA AS9
Rfam family: Vibrio RNA AS9
About the family: Identified by direct cloning an parallel sequencing experiments with 5S/tRNA depletion. Confirmed by Northern blot.
Source: RNAcentral
GCAACGGGCUUUGUUUAAUGUCAGACAAAUUAAACCACGACCGUAAGUUGCCAUAAAAUUUAUUGCUUCAGGCGUGAUUUUAUCUGAUGCAAUAAU